This 468-nucleotide ribosomal RNA is filed under the name uncultured bacterium. RNAcentral's name for it is "partial 16S ribosomal RNA". It matches the Rfam family "Bacterial small subunit ribosomal RNA", at positions 28 to 507 of the family's 1533-position model. The record is from RNAcentral.
GACGAACGCUGGCGGCGUGCUUAACACAUGCAAGUCGAACGGAAAGGCCCUGCUUUUGUGGGGUGCUCGAGUGGCGAACGGGUGAGUAACACGUGAGUAUCCUGCCCUUGACUUUGGGAGAACUUCAGGAAACUGGGGCUAAUACCGGAUAGGAGCUCCUGCUGCAUGGUGGGGGUUGGAAAGUUUCGGCGGUUGGGGGUGGACUCGCGGCUUACCAGCUUGUUGGUGGGGUAGUGGCUUACCAAGGCUUUGACGGGUAGCCGGCCUGAGAGAGUGACCGGCGACAUUGGGACUGAGGUACGGCCCCGAUUGCGACGGGAGGGAGAAGUGGGGAAGAUUGCACAAUGGACGCAGGCUGGGUGAAGCAGCGCCGCGUGCGGGAAGACGGUCUUCGGGGUGUAGACCACUUGCGCCUGUAACGAAGCGUGAGUGGCGGUAAUGGGUAAAGAAGGCCCGGCUAAAUACGUG